GACGAACGCUGGCGGCGUGCUUAACACAUGCAAGUCGAACGGAAAGGCCCUGCUUUUGUGGGGUGCUCGAGUGGCGAACGGGUGAGUAACACGUGAGUAACCUGCCCUUGACUUUGGGAUAACUUCAGGAAACUGGGGCUAAUACCGGAUAGGAGCUCCUGCUGCAUGGUGGGGGUUGGAAAGUUUCGGCGGUUGGGGAUGGACUCGCGGCUUAUCAGCUUGUUGGUGGGGUAGUGGCUUACCAAGGCUUUGACGGGUAGCCGGCCUGAGAGGGUGACCGGCCACAUUGGGACUGCGAUACGGCCCAGACUCCUACGGGAGGCAGCAGUGGGGAAUAUUGCACAGUGGGCCGAAGCCUGAUGCAGCAACGCCGCGUGCGGGAUGACGGCUUUCGGGUUGUAAACCGCUUUCGCCUGUGACGAAGCGUGAGUGACGGUAAUGGGUAAAGAAGCACCGGCUAACUACGUG
This 468-nucleotide ribosomal RNA is filed under the name uncultured bacterium. RNAcentral's name for it is "partial 16S ribosomal RNA". It matches the Rfam family "Bacterial small subunit ribosomal RNA", at positions 28 to 507 of the family's 1533-position model. The record is from RNAcentral.